Molecule: unclassified non-coding RNA, 263 nt
Filed under: plant metagenome
Description: partial contains small subunit ribosomal RNA, internal transcribed spacer 1, and 5.8S ribosomal RNA
Source: RNAcentral
UUUCCGUAGGUGAACCUGCGGAAGGAUCAUUAUUGUAUAACCGAGGUGCGAGGGCUGUCGCUGACCCGUCAGGUCGUGCACGCCCGAGUGCCCUCACACACAUCCAUCUCACCCCUAUGUGCACCACCGCGUGGGUACCCCUUUGGCUUGUUCGGAGGGGGGCUUACGUUUUCACACAAACUUUGUAUGCAGUGUAGAAUGUAUUUUUUGUUUUUGCGAUCACGCAAUCAAUACAACUUUCAACAACGGAUCUCUUGGCUCUC